AUACGGAGGAUGCGAGCGUUAUCCGGAUUUAUUGGGUUUAAAGGGUGCGCAGGCGGGAGAUUAAGUCGGCGGUGAAAUUUUUCAGCUCAACUGUAAAAGUGCCUUCGAAACUGGGUUCCUUGAGUGUAGAUGAAGUAGGCGGGAUUUGUGGUUUAGCGGUGAAAUGCAUAGAUAUCACGAGGAACUCCGAUUGCGCAGGCAGCUUACUAAACUACUACUGACGCUCAGGCACGAAGGCGUGGGGAUCAAACAGGAUUAGAUACCCUGGUAGUCCACGCAGUAAACGAUGAUUACUAGCUGUUUGCGAUACAAUGUAAGCGGCUGAGCGAAAGCGUUAAGUAAUCCACCUGGGGAGUACGUUCGCAAGAAUGAAACUUAAAGGAAUUGGCGGGG
This 393-nucleotide ribosomal RNA is filed under the name uncultured bacterium. RNAcentral's name for it is "partial 16S ribosomal RNA". It matches the Rfam family "Bacterial small subunit ribosomal RNA", at positions 523 to 918 of the family's 1533-position model. The record is from RNAcentral.